Lactuca sativa (garden lettuce) is the source of this 1056-nucleotide long non-coding RNA. RefSeq lists it as uncharacterized. The record is from RefSeq and is a predicted model, not a curated record. NCBI's taxonomy places the organism in Eukaryota, Viridiplantae, Streptophyta, Magnoliopsida, Asterales, Asteraceae.
UUUCUCUAAAACCCAUCGUCAACUUGAAGAUGCAGAUUGUAGAGGCUUCCUAGUCGGCGACCAAGUCACCCACCUCUUUUACUGAUGAGGUGUACGAAUCUAUUCUUCAAGUCUGCAUCUUCUUCCUCAAUAACUUCACUCUUCCACCUAAAAAGCCCUAGUUGUCUGUAUCUAAUCGAGAUACAUCGCCUGGCUCCCUUUUCCAUUUCAUCGGCACAGUAACCCUAGCCCACCAUUCUAUUUUCCUCUCUCUCCUCUGGCCCGAUCUGGGCAGCAAAGGACUUCAUAAACUGAUCACCGCCCCCGACGCCACCCCUAUCUCAUCAAAAUCGGUAAUUUCGUUGAAGACUUGGCCUCUCUCCCAACACUUGAUGUGGCAGCAGAGAAAUCACCAUGAAUCUAUUUGGCCACGUGAUUUCUUGACGUGAUUUGAAAUGUAUUUCCAUGUUAUGAUUUUAAACCAGUUAAAACUUUUAUUGUAGAUGUGACGAAAAUCAUAUGUGAGCUUGAGUAGCAGGAACAUAUAUGAUGUUCAAUAAGGAAAUUAUUGUGUUUCAGAACCAGUUGAUCAAGAAUUGUUCUGAGGAUGUGAUGUUGAGGUUGAUCCUUCACAAUCUGAAGCUAGCAUAACAUUCAAUAAUUUACGGAGCCCAACGCAUACAUUACUUCAAAUACGAUCUAUACAUUAGAAAGGUCUCGUGUAUGACAAUUUCAACAUCUCCAAGGACUGCAAUAUUUGUAUUGUGCAUGGGAGAAUAUGUUGUAGCGAUAAAGGGCACAAGAGUUUGGACAAUAUUGACAGGUUCACGAGGAUGACCAAGAUUCUAUCAGAACGAGGAAGCCUUUAGAAUGAGGAAGACCAAUAUUCAUUUAGAAUUAUGAAGGGCGAUGUUCUUCACAUGUAGACCUGCCAAUUGAUCAGACCUAAAUAACCAAAAAGAGAAGGGAAGCUUAACUUUUAUUUUUUAAGAAAACAUGUGAAGAAGAUCAAUUGCAUUUGUUCAAGAAUUGUAUAUUUAAGCAUGCUCUGUUUUUUAAGAAUUUAUUUCAUUUUUA